Molecule: ribosomal RNA, 497 nt
Filed under: uncultured bacterium
Lineage: Bacteria
Description: partial 16S ribosomal RNA
Rfam family: Bacterial small subunit ribosomal RNA
Source: RNAcentral
GACGAACGCUGGCGGCGUGCCUAAUACAUGCAAGUUGAGCGCUGAAGGUUGGUACUUGUACCAACUGGAUGAGCAGCGAACGGGUGAGUAACGCGUGGGGAAUCUGCCUUUGAGCGGGGGACAACAUUUGGAAACGAAUGCUAAUACCGCAUAAAAACUUUAAACACAAGUUUUAAGUUUGAAAGAUGCAAUUGCAUCACUCAAAGAUGAUCCCGCGUUGUAUUAGCUAGUUGGUGAGGUAAAGGCUCACCAAGGCGAUGAUACAUAGCCGACCUGAGAGGGUGAUCGGCCACAUUGGGACUGAGACACGGCCCAAACUCCUACGGGAGGCAGCAGUAGGGAAUCUUCGGCAAUGGACGAAAGUCUGACCGAGCAACGCCGCGGGAGUGAAGAAGGGUGUCGGAUCGUAAAACUCUGUUGGUAGAGAAGAACGUUGGUGAGAGUGGAAAGCUCAUCAAGUGACGAUAACUACCCAGAAAGGGACGGCUAACUACGUG